GAGCAUGUGGUUUAAUUCGAAGCAACGCGCAGAACCUUACCAGCCCUUGACAUCCCGAUCAGGAUUAUCAGAGAUGAUGAUUGUCGGUUCGGCCGGAUCGGUGACAGGUGCUGCAUGGCUGUCGUCAGCUCGUGUCGUGAGAUGUUGGGUUAAGUCCCGCAACGAGCGCAACCUUCGCCCUUAGUUGCCAUCAUUAAGUUGGGCACUCUAAGGGGACUGCCGGUGAUAAGCCGAGAGGAAGGUGGGGAUGACGUCAAGUCCUCAUGGCCCUUACGGGCUGGGCUACACACGUGCUACAAUGGUGGUGACAGUGGGCAGCGAGACCGCGAGGUCGAGCUAAUCUCCAAAAGCCAUCUCAGUUCGGAUUGCACUCUGCAACUCGAGUGCAUGAANUUGGAAUCGCUAGUAAUCGUGGAUCAGCAUGCCACGGUGAAUACGUUCCCGGGCCUUGUACACACCGCCCGUCACNCCAUGGGAGUUGGCUUUACCCGAAGGUGCCGCGCUAACCGCAAGGAGNCAGGCAACCACGGUAGGGUCAGCGACUGGGGUGAAGUCGUAACAAGGUAAC
Molecule: ribosomal RNA, 568 nt
Filed under: uncultured Hyphomicrobiales bacterium
Lineage: Bacteria; Pseudomonadati; Pseudomonadota; Alphaproteobacteria; Hyphomicrobiales
Description: bacterial SSU rRNA
Rfam family: Bacterial small subunit ribosomal RNA
Source: RNAcentral